Sander lucioperca (pikeperch) is the source of this 338-nucleotide long non-coding RNA. RefSeq lists it as uncharacterized. The transcript is spliced from 3 exons. Lineage: Eukaryota; Metazoa; Chordata; Actinopteri; Perciformes; Percidae. The record is from RefSeq and is a predicted model, not a curated record.
CGUGGAUAUUUUAACUUGUCAUGUCUCUAAAGUAAAUGGUAUGGUUUUAAACAAUCAGAGAAUGGUGUAUUGAUGGUUGUAGCUAUAGCAUAUAAAUCACCGCAGUAUUAGAUGUUAAAUGUGUAGGCCUAUAUACAAGAAAGCUAUGGGAUAAAUGUAGGGAAUUUGAUGAAUGGCUAGGUUAACAGAUGAUUUGAAACCAGUGUGAUAAUUAACAGAACAUAUUAACACACUAAACAAACAUAUAGAGGCAACAUUUACACUCAGUCUUUGAGAGAUAAAAUAGGUAGCGUAUCGCUACCGUGACGGCAGCCAUGCGUCACAUCACAGGAAACAAU